AACUAAUAAUGAGAAAAAGGGAGUAAUUAUAAACCCCUCAUUAAAGUUAGCAGCUUCA
Molecule: transfer RNA, 58 nt
Filed under: Ampullaceana balthica
Lineage: Eukaryota; Metazoa; Mollusca; Gastropoda; Lymnaeidae
Also listed under: 1 other name
Description: tRNA-Ser
Source: RNAcentral